RNAcentral lists this ribosomal RNA (427 nucleotides) under uncultured bacterium. Its description in RNAcentral is "partial 16S ribosomal RNA". It matches the Rfam family "Bacterial small subunit ribosomal RNA", at positions 355 to 774 of the family's 1533-position model. The record is from RNAcentral.
UAGGGAAUCUUCCGCAAUGGGCGAAAGCCUGACGGAGCAACGCCGCGUGAGUGAUGAAGGUCUUCGGAUCGUAAAACUCUGUUAUUAGGGAAGAACAAAUGUGUAAGUAACUAUGCACGUCUUGACGGUACCUAAUCAGAAAGCCACGGCUAACUACGUGCCAGCAGCCGCGGUAAUACGUAGGUGGCAAGCGUUAUCCGGAAUUAUUGGGCGUAAAGCGCGCGUAGGCGGUUUUCUAAGUCUGAUGUGAAAGCCCACGGCUCAACCGUGGAGGGUCAUUGGAAACUGGAAAACUUGAGUGCAGAAGAGGAAAGUGGAAUUCCAUGUGUAGCGGUGAAAUGCGCAGAGAUAUGGAGGAACACCAGUGGCGAAGGCGACUUUCUGGUCUGUAACUGACGCUGAUGUGCGAAAGCGUGGGGAUCAAACA